GAUUCCUGCUUCAAUCCUCACUUUGUCACUUAUGGUGUAAUUUUAGAGGAAAACCUAUCUUCUAAGAGUGAAUGGAGAUUACUUCAUUUUAAAAUCCUUUUUUUUAUAGAUUAUAAUCAAAGAAAGCUGCAGUCAAUAUGUCAUGGGUCCCCAAAAGGAUGAAAAAUGUGUAUCUCAAACCUUCAAGGAGGUAGAGUUGCAAGUAGAGCAGUGAGUUUCCACAAGAUGAGUUUUAUCUGUUACACAGUGUUGAGAACAGAACCGUCUUCCACAGAACAUUGUGCUUGGGAAAAAAAAACCAACCAGGGAGAGCAGCAAUGGAACAUAAUUUUUGCAAACAGUGUAUAAGACAGCCAAAGAAAUUAAGGCUUGAAUGGAAAAGUAAAUGGAACCCUUCGAGAGAUGAACAUUUUGAGAGCCAUGGGGAAUUCUGCACUUUCGCUGGUGUCCUCACAGGUGGGUUUGAAGGUCAUUUACCACAUGCUUCUCCUUACUUACAGUGUUUGAAUACUGUUAUGUUUAAUGUCAGUCAAGAGGUAAAAAUGAGGUAUGGGA
Molecule: long non-coding RNA, 555 nt
Filed under: Calidris pugnax (ruff)
Lineage: Eukaryota; Metazoa; Chordata; Aves; Charadriiformes; Scolopacidae
Description: lncRNA (ENSCPUG00000002330.1)
Source: RNAcentral